Molecule: small nuclear RNA, 104 nt
Organism: Suricata suricatta (meerkat)
Lineage: Eukaryota; Metazoa; Chordata; Mammalia; Carnivora; Herpestidae
Source: Ensembl
GUGCUCGCUUCAGCAGCACACAUACUAAAAUUGGAACAAUACUGAGAUUAGCAUGGCCCCUCCGCAAGGAUGACACACAAAUUCGUGUAGCAUUCCAUAUUUAA